Gossypium arboreum is the source of this 863-nucleotide long non-coding RNA. RefSeq lists it as uncharacterized. The record is from RefSeq and is a predicted model, not a curated record. The transcript is spliced from 2 exons. Lineage: Eukaryota; Viridiplantae; Streptophyta; Magnoliopsida; Malvales; Malvaceae.
UAGGGAUAAUUUAAAAGAAAAUAAAGUAAAUUAAAUGAAAAUGGGAGCAAAUUGCGCCGCAAUACAAGUACGAGGGACCAGACGCGAAAUAAACCAAUUUAGGCGCAAACGCACCAAUUCGGAGCCCCAGGCGGGUUAACGCGCGGACCUUGGCUCCUUCCCCUGUGCGGCGUCGUUUUAAUUGGCUACUACACUUCCCCUUUUAAUUGUUUUGCCUUCCAAAACACAGCAAACUUUUUAGCCCAAAAAAAAAUGCUAUCAGCCCCUUUUUCUUAGGUUUCGCAUAACACAUUGCUACCGCCAUCAAGCCCUCAAGCCAUGAAGUCGAUUUAGCCUCGAACUUCUUUCUCUAACUCCGAUUUCAACGAAGCAAAGAAAGAUUCAUGGCAACUUUACAAAGUACAGAAUGAGGCUUUUAUAGCCUGGAUUUACAGAGAAAAUAGUAAAAAGAAAAAAAUAUUUUUCUUGCUGUCAUCUGCCCAUUUCUGUUAUUCCUUUCUUUCUGGUGUAUUCUCUUUGCAGGAACGGUUGUACGGAGGAGCGACCCUGGUGACGUGGAGACCAAUCGUCAAAAAUUUUUUUACACGAGACUGACCUUUCGGUGACCUUCUGGUUUACUCCAGAAGCUUCCAGCAUCCUCAAGAUACUGAUACAAUUUUUCUUGCAUAUUGGGCUUCGGUUUUGGGCCGGAUUUAAGAUGUGGAUUGAUUUCAUUGGGCUUUAGAAUUUGGGCCAAAUAUUAUGUAAUUAGGGCUAAAGAACUUUGGGGUAUUUGGUUAAGAAAUGGGCUUAUUGUAAUUGGGUUUUAAUUUUUAUGUAAAGGGUUUUGGGGUAUUUAUUUAAUUGGGUUGGAUAUUUGUAAA